GAAAUGCGAUAAGUAAUGUGAAUUGCAGAAUUCAGUGAAUCAUCGAAUCUUUGAACGCACCUUGCGCUCCUUGGUAUUCCGAGGAGCAUGCCUGUUUGAGUGUCAUUAAAUUCUCAACCUCACCCGCUUUUUAUUUGCGUGCGUGAAGGCUUGGAUGUGGAGGUUUUUGCAGGUCCAGCUCUGCUGGUCUGCUCCUCUGAAAUGCAUUAGUGGGUUGUGGCCCCUCAUCUAUUGGUGUGAUAAUUAUCUACGCCGUGGAUCAGUGUUGGCAACAAUGAAGACCUGCUUCUAACCGUCCGACUCGGACAAUCUUGACAUUUUUGACCUCAAAUCAGGUAAGACUACCCGCUGAACUUAA
RNAcentral lists this unclassified non-coding RNA (358 nucleotides) under uncultured Coprinus. RNAcentral describes it as "sequence contains ITS1". The stretch from base 1 to 105 matches the Rfam family "5.8S ribosomal RNA", at positions 50 to 154 of the family's 154-position model. Lineage: Eukaryota; Fungi; Basidiomycota; Agaricomycetes; Agaricales; Agaricaceae. The record is from RNAcentral.